Molecule: ribosomal RNA, 754 nt
Filed under: uncultured archaeon
Lineage: Archaea
Description: bacterial SSU rRNA
Rfam family: Archaeal small subunit ribosomal RNA
Source: RNAcentral
GGACAACCUACCCUAAGGUGGGGGAUAACCCCGGGAAACUGGGGAUAAUACCCCAUAGACUAGAGAAGCUGGAAUGCUCUCAAGUUCAAAGGUCCGCCGCCUUAGGAUGGGUCUGCGGUCGAUUAGGUUGUUGUUGGGGUAACGGCCCAACAAGCCCGUGAUCGAUACGGGUUGUGAGAGCAAGAGCCCGGAGAUGGAUUCUGAGACACGAAUCCAGGCCCUACGGGGCGCAGCAGGCGCGAAAACUUUACAAUGCGGGAAACCGUGAUAAGGGAACCCCGAGUGCCCGUAAAUUCGGGCUGUCCAUCAGCGUAAAUAACUGGUGAAGAAAGGGCCGGGCAAGACCGGUGCCAGCCCGCCGCGGUAAUACCGGCGGCUCGAGUGGUGGCCACUAUUAUUGGGCUUAAAGCGUCCGUAGCUUGGUUGUUAAGUCUCUUGGGAAAAUCUACCGGCUCAACCGGUAGGCGUUCAGGAGAUACUGGCAAUAUAGGGGCCGGGAGAGGUGAGAGGUACUCCAGGGGUAGGAGUGAAAUCCUGUAAUCCUUGGGGGACCACCUGUGGCGAAGGCGUCUCACUAGAACGGCUCCGACAGUGAGGGACGAAAGCUGGGGGAGCAAACCGGAUUAGAUACCCGGGUAGUCCCAGCUGUAAACGAUGCGCGUUAGGUGUAUCGGUGACCACGAGUCACCGAGGUGCCGAAGGGAAACCGUGAAACGUGCCGCCUGGGAAGUACGGUCGCAAGGCUGAAACUUAA